This is a long non-coding RNA of Hemicordylus capensis (graceful crag lizard), 411 nucleotides long. RefSeq lists it as uncharacterized. The record is from RefSeq and is a predicted model, not a curated record. The transcript is spliced from 3 exons. NCBI's taxonomy places the organism in Eukaryota, Metazoa, Chordata, Lepidosauria, Squamata, Cordylidae.
AAAGGGUAAAGGCUUUCAUGACUGGGAAUUAUUCUCCAUAAUCCCUUAAUGCCAGCCGGCCCGUGCUGAAGUGGAGGAGUGCCAGUGGGGCCUAGAGGAGCUACUGCUAGCCCGCCACUGCGGAACCGCCACUGCUGCCGUGCACUGAAAUGACACUUUCAAUGAGCUGUCCACCAUGAUCCCAAGAUCUCUCUCCUGGUCAGUCACUGACAGCUCAGAUCCCAUCAGCAUAUAUGUGAAGUUGGUGUGGUGGGGAACUUUAUCAAAAGCUUUUUGGAAGUCCAAGCAUACGAUGUCAACUGGAUCAACUUUAUCCACGUACCUGUUGACACGCUCAAAGAACUCCAAAAGCUUUGAAUCUUCCUUCCUAACACCUUUUAACACUCUCGGGGGACCAGGCACCAGAAAAUC